CCUGGUUGAUCCUGCCAGUAAUCAUAUGCUUGUCUCAAAGAUUAAGCCAUGCAUGUCUAAGUACAUGCCGAAAUAAGGCGAAACCGCUAAUGGCUCAUUAAAUCAGUUAUGGUUCCUUAAUCGUUUUUCUUCCUACUUGAUAACUGGAUGUGGCAAUUCUAGAGCUAAGUACAUGGCACGUGACCUUGGGAGCCCUUUGGGUUAAGCGGGUGCUUGUAUAGACAAGAUCGACGGGUUUCGGGCCCGUAUGGGUGGGUCGGACUCUGGAUAACUGUUGUGCGAUCCAAUGCCCACCGAGCCGGCGACGUUUCUUCUUCCAAGUGCCUGCCUCUGUAUCAACUUUCGAUGGUAGGUUACUUGCUUACCAUGGUUGUUACGGGUAACGGAGAAUCAGGGUUCGAUUCCGGAGAGGGAGCCUGAGAAACGGCUACCACGAUCCAAGGAGAGGCAGGCAGGCGCGCAGCAAUUACCCACGCCGGCACGGGGGAGUAGUGACGAAAAAAACAAUACGGGACAUGCUCUUUUGAGGCCCCGUAAUUGAAAUGAGUACACUCUAAAUCCUUUAACGAGGAUCAAUUGGAGGGCAAGUCUGGUGCCAGCAGCCGCGGUAAUUCCAGCUCCAAUAGCGUCGAUACAAAGCUGUCUGCGGUUAAAAAGCUCGUAGUUGGAUCUCAGUUCCAGACGAGUAGUGCAUCUACCCGAUGCGACGGCUCGGACUGAACAUCAUGCCGGUUCUUUCUUGGUGCACUUCAUUGUGUGCCUCGAGAUGGCCGGUGCUUUUACUUUGAAAAAAUUAGAGUGCUCAACGCAGGCGAGUCGCCUGAAUAAAUAGACUUGGCAAAUGAUAGAACAAGACCUCGUUUCUGUUCUGUUGGUUUUUGGAAUACGAGGUAAUGAUUAAGAGGGACGGACGGGGGCAUUCGUAUUGCGGAGCUAGAGGUGAAAUUCUUGGACCGUCGCAAGACGAACUACUGCGAAAGCAUUUGCCAAGAAUGUGUUUUCAUUGGAAGUCAAGAACAAAAGUCGAGAGGUCAUAAGCUAUCAGAUACGCCUAGUUCUGACCAUAAACAAUGCCAACCAGCGAUCCCGCCCUGCGAUUAGCGUCAAAAUGACUCGGCGGGCAGCUGCUGUCCCCGGGGAAACAAAGUUAUGUUGGGUUCCGGGGAAUAUGGUUGCAAAAACUGGAAAGCUUAAAGGGAAUUGAGCGGAAGGGCACCACCAGGAGUGAGCAUGGCGGCUUCUAAUGUUGAUCACCCACGGGAAAACCUUAGACCCGCUCCCGGACACUGGGAGGAUUGACAGAUUGAGAGCUCUUUCUUGAUUCGGUGGAUGGUGUGCAUCGCCGUCGCUUAGUGGGUGGAGCGAUUUGUCAUGUCUAAGUUUCCGAUAACGACCGCGAGCACUCUAGCCUAUAACAUAGUGGCGGGUCCCAGCACCUGUACAACCUCCCUUAGAGGGAGCAAGCGGCUCCUAGCCGCACGAAACAGAGCAAUAACAGGUCUGUGAUGCCCUUAGAUGUCCGGGGCCGCACGCGCGCUACACUGAAGGAAGCAGCGUGUCUUUAUCCCUGUCUGAAAAGACUGGGUAACCCGUGGAACUUCUUUCGUGAUUGGGAUAGGGGCUUGCAAUUGUUCCCCUUGAACGAGGAAUUCCCAGUAAGCGCGAGUCAUAAGCUCGCGUUGAUUACGUCCCUGCCCUUUGUACACACCGCCCGUCGCUACUACCGAUUGAAUGAUUUAGUGAGGUCUUCGGACCAUGUCGGCCGCGCCUCUUCGGUUGCCGCGGUCAGUCUGGAAAGAUGACCGAAACUUGGAUAUUCUAGAGGAAGUAAAAAGUCGUACAAGGUUUCGCGUAGGUAACCUGCGAAGG
RNAcentral lists this ribosomal RNA (1869 nucleotides) under Rhipicephalus microplus (southern cattle tick). RNAcentral's name for it is "SSU rRNA". It matches the Rfam family "Eukaryotic small subunit ribosomal RNA". The record is from RNAcentral. Lineage: Eukaryota; Metazoa; Arthropoda; Arachnida; Ixodida; Ixodidae.